CCUUAUAGUAAAAUAUCAAUUUAAUGAGGACUAAUAAAUUAAUUAUAAACUCAAACUUUAUGGCGGCAAAUGUAACCAACAGGGGAACUUACUUCGUAAAUGAUAAUCACCAAGAUAUACUACCUCAACUUAAAAGUCUGUAUACCGUCGUUAUAAAGGGACCCAUAAAGAGUUCUUAAAAUAUAUUACUAAAAUUCAUUUUAUAACAGAUCAAGGUGCAACCUAUGUAGAGGCGAAAGCGAGUUACAAUAAUUUAUUUAUUUCGUAACUACAAAUGAAAAAUGUAAGUAAGAUGGACUUGUAAGUAUAAUUAUUAUAUUAAAAUUAUUAAUAGAAUAAACACUAUAUUUGUGC
RNAcentral lists this ribosomal RNA (354 nucleotides) under Arion occultus. Its description in RNAcentral is "partial 12S ribosomal RNA". The record is from RNAcentral. Lineage: Eukaryota; Metazoa; Mollusca; Gastropoda; Stylommatophora; Arionidae.